GUAUGCGAUCAUACCAGCACUAAAGCACCGGAUCCCAUCAGAACUCCGAAGUUAAGCGUGCUUGGGCGAGAGUAGUACUAGGAUGGGUGACCUCCUGGGAAGUCCUCGUGUUGCAUUCCU
Molecule: ribosomal RNA, 120 nt
Filed under: Thinopyrum intermedium
Lineage: Eukaryota; Viridiplantae; Streptophyta; Magnoliopsida; Poales; Poaceae
Source: RNAcentral